Molecule: ribosomal RNA, 253 nt
Filed under: uncultured bacterium
Lineage: Bacteria
Description: partial 16S ribosomal RNA
Rfam family: Bacterial small subunit ribosomal RNA
Source: RNAcentral
GACAGAGGGUGCAAACGUUGUUCGGAAUUACUGGGCGUAAAGCGCGCGUAGGCGGCUUUGUAAGUUAGAGGUGAAAGCCCGGAGCUCAACUCCGGAACUGCCUUUAAAACUGCAUCGCUUGAAUCCAGGAGAGGUGAGUGGAAUUCCGAGUGUAGAGGUGAAAUUCGUAGAUAUUCGGAAGAACACCAGUGGCGAAGGCGGCUCACUGGACUGGUAUUGACGCUGAGGUGCGAAAGCGUGGGGAGCAAACAGG